ACGUAGGGGGCAAGCGUUAUCCGGAAUUACUGGGUGUAAAGGGAGCGUAGACGGUGAGGUAAGUCUGGAGUGAAAGGCAGGGGCCCAACCCCUGGACUGCUCUGGAAACUAUCCCACUAGAGUGCAGGAGAGGUGAGCGGAAUUCCUAGUGUAGCGGUGAAAUGCGUAGAUAUUAGGAGGAACACCAGUGGCGAAGGCGGCUCACUGGACUGUAACUGACGUUGAGGCUCGAAAGCGUGGGGAGCAA
Molecule: ribosomal RNA, 247 nt
Filed under: uncultured bacterium
Lineage: Bacteria
Description: partial 16S ribosomal RNA
Rfam family: Bacterial small subunit ribosomal RNA
Source: RNAcentral